This 1010-nucleotide long non-coding RNA is filed under the name Calidris pugnax (ruff). RNAcentral describes it as "lncRNA (ENSCPUG00000018894.1)". Lineage: Eukaryota; Metazoa; Chordata; Aves; Charadriiformes; Scolopacidae. The record is from RNAcentral.
ACCUUCUAGAGAUCAUCCAGUCCAACUCCCCGGCCAAAGCAGGGCUGCCCAGAGCACAUCACUCAGGAGCAUCCAGGCAGGGCUUGAAGAUCUCCAGAGAAGGGGACUCCACACCCUCCCUGGGCAGCCUCUGCCAGGGCUCUGCCACCCUCACCCCAAAGAAGUUCUUCCUCACAUUGGAGUGGAACUUCCCAUGGUCCAGCUUGUGCCCGUUGCCCCUUGUCCUCUCACUGGGAACCACUGGAAAGAGUCCGGCUCCAUCCUCCCUCAACCUGCACUUUAGAUCCUUGUCAGCAUUGAUAAGGUCUCCCCUCAGCCUUCUCUUCUCCAGGCUCAAGAGCCCCAGCUCUCUCAGCCUUUCCUCACCAGGGAGAUGCUCCAAUCCCUCCAGCAUCUCUGUUGCCCUACGCUGGACUCUCUCCAGCAGUUCCCUGUCUCUCUUGAACUUGGGGACCCAGGACUGGACACAGGAUUCCAGUUGUGGCCUCCCCAGUGCAGAGCAGAGGGGGAGAAUGACCUCCUUUGACCUACUGGCCACACUCUUCCCUAUGCAGCCCAGGAUUUUGUUGUCCCUCUUGGCCACAAGGGCACAUUGCUGGCUCAUGGAGAGUUUACUGUCCACCAGGACCCCCAGAUCCUUCUCCUCAGAAGUGCUUUCCAGCAGGUCUAUCCCUAACCUAUGUUGGUGCCCAGGGUUCUUCCUCCCCAGGUUCAAGACCCUACACUUGCCUUUAUUGAACCUCAUGAGGUUCUUCUCUGCCCAGCUCUCCAGCCUGUCCAGGUCACACUGGAUGGCAGCACAGUCCUCUGGUAUGUCAGCCAGCCCUACCAAUUUGGUAUCAUCAGUGAACUUGCUGAGGAUACACUCUGUCCCCUUGUCCAGGUCAUUGAGGAGACACAAGGCAGUACAGAAUGAGGGUUGGACUUACAUGGUUAUGGUUUCUCUCUUCACUGCUUCACUUUCUGGGUGCCUGCAACUUGGUCUUUGUAUAUGUUUGGACUUCACAACC